Schizosaccharomyces pombe (fission yeast) is the source of this 506-nucleotide non-coding RNA. Lineage: Eukaryota; Fungi; Ascomycota; Schizosaccharomycetes; Schizosaccharomycetales; Schizosaccharomycetaceae. The record is from the annotation of a GenBank genome assembly.
UUUUAACCAGAGCAUCAAUAUCGUUACGCACACCAUACAUUAGCUCCUUCUGUGAUUCUUCAUGAGUAUGCUGUAAAUUAUAUAGUGAUCUUAAUUCCUGAACAAGUUGUCGGUAUGAUUCUUUCAUGUCUUUCUGCAAUUCUAUCAAUUCCGAAGAAAUUCCAUUUCCCAACUUCUGGGAAGACAUGCUAAUAUCCUGCAGACUGUGCUCCAACGCAUCAAGAAGGCUGUUUUUGGAAUCCUUUAAUUCAGAAACAAUUAGGUCUAAGCUAGAAUUAGGUACUGCACAAGAAGAACGAGCACUUUGCAACGCCUCAUCUAAACUCUGAAAAUGCUCAGUAAUUUUGGUCAUAGAAAUCAGCAGUUGAUUACUGUGGGUGUUCAAUAAUUCUUCCAUUGAAGCAUUAAAAUCAUUCAACAAAGUAAAAUAGCCAUUUGUUUCAUCAGUAAAACUUCCAUGAAAAGAUCUCAACAUCGUUAACAAAUUGAACUUAAGAUUCCAAAAA